GUUGUUGGGUAGGGGAGCGUUCUGUAAGCCUGUGAAGGUGGCCUGUGAGGGUUGCUGGAGGUAUCAGAAGUGCGAAUGCUGACAUAAGUAACGAUAAAGCGGGUGAAAAGCCCGCUCGCCGGAAGACCAAGGGUUCCUGUCCAACGUUAAUCGGGGCAGGGUGAGUCGACCCCUAAGGCGAGGCCGAAAGGCGUAGUCGAUGGGAAACGGGUUAAUAUUCCCGUACUUGGUGUUACUGCGAAGGGGGGACGGAGAAGGCUAUGUUGGCCGGGCGACGGUUGUCCCGGUUUAAGCGUGUAGGUGUGUGUUCCAGGUAAAUCCGGUUCACUUUAACACUGAGGCGUGAUGACGAGGCACUACGGUGCUGAAGCAACAAAUGCCCUGCUUCCAGGAAAAGCCUCUAAGCAUCAGGUAACAUCAAAUCGUACCCCAAACCGACACAGGUGGUCAGGUAGAGAAUACCAAGGCGCUUGAGAGAACUCGGGUGAAGGAACUAGGCAAAAUGGUGCCGUAACUUCGGGAGAAGGCACGCUGACACGUAGGUGAAGUGAUUUACUCACGGAGCUGAAGUCAGUCGAAGAUACCAGCUGGCUGCAACUGUUUAUUAAAAACACAGCACUGUGCAAACACGAAAGUGGACGUAUACGGUGUGACGCCUGCCCGGUGCCGGAAGGUUAAUUGAUGGGGUCAGCGCAAGCGAAGCUCCUGAUCGAAGCCCCGGUAAACGGCGGCCGUAACUAUAACGGUCCUAAGGUAGCGAAAUUCCUUGUCGGGUAAGUUCCGACCUGCACGAAUGGCGUAAUGAUGGCCAGGCUGUCUCCACCCGAGACUCAGUGAAAUUGAACUCGCUGUGAAGAUGCAGUGUACCCGCGGCAAGACGGAAAGACCCCGUGAACCUUUACUAUAGCUUGACACUGAACAUUGAGCCUUGAUGUGUAGGAUAGGUGGGAGGCUUUGAAGUGUGGACGCCAGUCUGCAUGGAGCCGACCUUGAAAUACCACCCUUUAAUGUUUGAUGUUCUAACGUGGACCCGUUAUCCGGGUUGCGGACAGUGUCUGGUGGGUAGUUUGACUGGGGCGGUCUCCUCCUAAAGAGUAACGGAGGAGCACGAAGGUUGGCUAAUCCUGGUCGGACAUCAGGAGGUUAGUGCAAUGGCAUAAGCCAGCUUGACUGCGAGCGUGACGGCGCGAGCAGGUGCGAAAGCAGGUCAUAGUGAUCCGGUGGUUCUGAAUGGAAGGGCCAUCGCUCAACGGAUAAAAGGUACUCCGGGGAUAACAGGCUGAUACCGCCCAAGAGUUCAUAUCGACGGCGGUGUUUGGCACCUCGAUGUCGGCUCAUCACAUCCUGGGGCUGAAGUAGGUCCCAAGGGUAUGGCUGUUCGCCAUUUAAAGUGGUACGCGAGCUGGGUUUAGAACGUCGUGAGACAGUUCGGUCCCUAUCUGCCGUGGGCGCUGGAGAACUGAGGGGGGCUGCUCCUAGUACGAGAGGACCGGAGUGGACGCAUCACUGGUGUUCGGGUUGUCAUGCCAAUGGCACUGCCCGGUAGCUAAAUGCGGAAGAGAUAAGUGCUGAAAGCAUCUAAGCACGAAACUUGCCCCGAGAUGAGUUCUCCCUGAGACUUAGAGUCUCCUGAAGGAACGUUGAAGACGACGACGUUGAUAGGCCGGGUGUGUAAGCGCAGCGAUGCGUUGAGCUAACCGGUACUAAUGAACCGUGAGGCUUAACCUU
RNAcentral lists this ribosomal RNA (1728 nucleotides) under Salmonella enterica subsp. enterica serovar Heidelberg str. N26457. Its description in RNAcentral is "bacterial LSU rRNA". It matches the Rfam family "Bacterial large subunit ribosomal RNA", at positions 1220 to 2925 of the family's 2925-position model. Lineage: Bacteria; Pseudomonadati; Pseudomonadota; Gammaproteobacteria; Enterobacterales; Enterobacteriaceae. The record is from RNAcentral.